Molecule: long non-coding RNA, 210 nt
Organism: Neopsephotus bourkii (Bourke's parrot)
Lineage: Eukaryota; Metazoa; Chordata; Aves; Psittaciformes; Psittacidae
Exons: 2
Source: RefSeq, a predicted model, not a curated record
CACAGAAUGGUUUGGGUUGGAAAGGACCCUAAGCACAUCCAGUUCCAACCCCUGCCAUGGGCAGGGACACCUCACACUAGACCAUGUCACUCAAGGCUCUGUCCAACCUGGCCUUGAACACUGCCAGGGAUGGAGCAUUCACCGCUUCUCUGGGCACCCUGUGCCAGGCCUCACCACCCUCACAGUAAAGAACUUCUUCCUUAUAUCCAA